CUCUAUUUAUAUAGGAACAAAUGGGGUUGAAGUGUGUGAAAAAAGAUUCACUUUGUGUAAAAAAAAUAAAGUUAUUGUUGUUUUCUGCGUAGUGUAACCGGUUACCAGGAUCCAGGGUAACCGGUUACGCUGACCAAAAAUGGCAUGGGGAACCUUCGUUACGUAGGUGUAACCGGUUACCAGGAUCCUGAGUAACCGGUGACACAUACCAAAAAUUUCAUAUGGAACCUAUGUUAAAAGGGGUGUAACCGGUUACACAGAAUUUGGUAACUGGUUACACAGACUAAAAAAAGGAUUUGAUAUUUUGUUGUACAUUUCCCUUUGAAGCUUUAUCCGGAAAAAC
RNAcentral lists this long non-coding RNA (343 nucleotides) under Lathyrus oleraceus (garden pea). RNAcentral describes it as "Pisum sativum (pea) long non-coding RNA (PSAT_LNC015118)". The record is from RNAcentral. Lineage: Eukaryota; Viridiplantae; Streptophyta; Magnoliopsida; Fabales; Fabaceae.